This 802-nucleotide ribosomal RNA is filed under the name uncultured archaeon. Its description in RNAcentral is "partial 16S ribosomal RNA". The record is from RNAcentral.
CACCGACAACGGUCGCACGUGGCCGACACCUAGCGAGUAUCGUUUACGGCUAGGACUACCCGGGUAUCUAAUCCGGUUCGUGCCCCUAGCUUUCGUCCCUURCCGUCAGGUCCGUUCUGGUGAGACGCCUUCGCCACUGGUGGUCCUUCAAGGAUUACAAGAUUUCACCCCUACCCCUGAAGUACCUCUCACCUCUCCCGGCCUCGAGCCAGACAGUAUCUCCUGAAAGCCUGACAGUUAAGCUGCCAGAUUUCUCAAGAGACUUAUCCGGCCGGCUACAGACCCUUUAGACCCAAUAAUAACGGUUACCACUCGAGCCGCCGGUGUUACCGCGGCGGCUGGCACCGGUCUUGCCCGGCCCUUGCUAUGAAAUGCUUUUUAGGCAUCUCGACAGCCAGAUUUGUAACCUGGCACUCGAGGUUCCCUUAUCGCUGUUGCCAGCAUUGUAAAGUUUUCGCGCCUGCUGCACCCCGUAGGGCCUGGAUUCGUGUCUCAGAAUCCAUCUCCGGGCUCUUGCUCUCACAACCCGUACCCGUCGUAGGCUAGUAGGUACGCUACACCCACUACUACCUGAUAGGCCGCAGACCCAUCCUUAGGCGCCGGAGCUUUAAAUCUCGAUGCAUUCCAGCAAUCGAGACCUAUCGGGUAUUAUACCCAGUUUCCCGGGUUUAUCCCCGUCCUAAGGGCAGGUUGUCCACGUGUUACUGAGCAGUUCGCCAUGUAUUGCUACAUUCGACUCGCAUGGCUUAGUCGAACCUCGAUAGCAAAAACCUCAGGCAGGAUCAACCSGAAAAGGSAGAAU